This is a non-coding RNA of Mus pahari (shrew mouse), 375 nucleotides long. Lineage: Eukaryota; Metazoa; Chordata; Mammalia; Rodentia; Muridae. The record is from the annotation of a RefSeq genome assembly.
AUGGGAUGGAGCUGGGUCUUUCUCUUCCUCCUGUCAGUAACUGCAGGUGUCCACUCCCAGGUCCAGCUGCAACAGUCUGGAGCUGAGCUGGUGAGGCCUGGGGCCUCAGUGAAGUUGUCCUGCAAGGCUUCUGGCUACACCUUUAAUGACUAUGAAAUUCACUGGGUGAAGCAGAGUCUGAAGCAGGGACUGGAAUGGAUUGGAGCUAUUCAUCCUGGAAGUGGUGGUACUGCCUACAAUCAGAAGUUCAAGGGGAAGGCCACUUUGACUGCAGACAAAUCCUCCAGCACAGCCUACAUGGAGCUCAGCAGCCUGACUUCUGAGGACUCUGCAGUCUAUUUCUGUGCAAGACACAGUGCUGCAACCACAUCCUGA